AAGUCGAGCGGAUUGAUGGGAGCUUGCUCCCUGAUAUCAGCGGCGGACGGGUGAGUAACACGUGGGUAACCUGCCUGUAAGAUCGGGAUAACUCCGGGAAACCGGGGCUAAUACCGGAUAAUUCAUUCCCUCGCAUGAGGGAAUGUUGAAAGGUGGCUUUUAGCUACCACUUACAGAUGGACCCGCGGCGCAUUAGCUAGUUGGUGAGGUAACGGCUCACCAAGGCGACGAUGCGUAGCCGACCUGAGAGGGUGAUCGGCCACACUGGGACUGAGACACGGCCCAGACUCCUACGGGAGGCAGCAGUAGGGAAUCUUCCGCAAUGGACGAAAGUCUGACGGAGCAACGCCGCGUGAGUGAUGAAGGUUUUCGGAUCGUAAAGCUCUGUUGUUAGGGAAGAACAAGUGCCGUUCGAAUAGGGCGGCACCUUGACGGUACCUAACCAGAAAGCCACGGCUAACUACGUGCCAGCAGCCGCGGUAAUACGUAGGUGGCAAGCGUUGUCCGGAAUUAUUGGGCGUAAAGCGCGCGCAGGUGGUUCCUUAAGUCUGAUGUGAAAGCCCACGGCUCAACCGUGGAGGGUCAUUGGAAACUGGGGAA
RNAcentral lists this ribosomal RNA (600 nucleotides) under Rossellomorea aquimaris. RNAcentral describes it as "bacterial SSU rRNA". It matches the Rfam family "Bacterial small subunit ribosomal RNA", at positions 59 to 640 of the family's 1533-position model. Lineage: Bacteria; Bacillati; Bacillota; Bacilli; Caryophanales; Bacillaceae. The record is from RNAcentral.